This 30-nucleotide non-coding RNA is filed under the name Homo sapiens (human). The record is from RNAcentral. Lineage: Eukaryota; Metazoa; Chordata; Mammalia; Primates; Hominidae.
UGGAACUGGAGCUGAAACUUUUCUGGAGUC